UAAUAAGAAGCAAAUCCUUGCAUUUAGUUUCGACCUAAAUUUUGAUAAAUUUAUCCUUAUUUU
RNAcentral lists this transfer RNA (63 nucleotides) under Trigonopterus puspoi. RNAcentral describes it as "tRNA-Arg". Lineage: Eukaryota; Metazoa; Arthropoda; Insecta; Coleoptera; Curculionidae. The record is from RNAcentral.